This 253-nucleotide ribosomal RNA is filed under the name uncultured bacterium. RNAcentral describes it as "partial 16S ribosomal RNA". It matches the Rfam family "Bacterial small subunit ribosomal RNA", at positions 524 to 776 of the family's 1533-position model. The record is from RNAcentral.
UACAGGGGGUGCGAGCGUUAAUCGGCAUUACUGGGCGUAAAGGGCGCGUAGGCGGUCGAGUAAGUCGGAUGGGACAUCCCCGGGCUUAACCUGGGAAUUGCAUUCGAUACUGCUUGGCUAGAGUGUGGAAGAGGGAAGCGGAAUUUCCGGUGUAGCGGUGAAAUGCGUAGAUAUCGGAAGGAACACCAGUGGCGAAGGCGGCUUCCUGGUCCAACACUGACGCUGAGGCGCGAGAGCGUGGGGAGCAAACAGG